GGGGUUGACUGGUUUUGACAGCGGGCAGAAGCGGUUUGUAAGCAUGCAGUGCAUUGUUGGUUCGCACUUUAAUAAUAAUCCUCAAACUUUUUAACUGGCAACAACAAUUACGCUCUUGCUGCUUAAUCGAAGUAUAGUAGAUUGAAGCUUAAUCCCGACAUUAGAUGACGGGACAAGACAUCACCCGGAAGCUCUGGCUUCGAAGCGUUCCGAUUAGGUGGUGCAGGUAUAUCGAAGAUAGGUUGAGAGACGCUUCGGCUCUUUUCCGAAACUAAAGAAGAUAAGGACUGGGUUUGGUGGUUUUAGUCGCGCCCACUCUCGAAAACCAAAAUAAAACUAAGCAUGUAGAAAGCAAAUUGAUUCCCUGUUUGGACGAGGGUUCGAAUCCCUCCAGCUCCACAA
This 402-nucleotide transfer-messenger RNA is filed under the name Proteiniphilum sp. It matches the Rfam family "transfer-messenger RNA". From Rfam's summary of the family: Bacterial tmRNA, also known as 10Sa RNA or SsrA, is named for its dual tRNA and mRNA-like properties. Its role is to liberate the mRNA from a stalled ribosome. To accomplish this part of the tmRNA is used as a reading frame that ends in a translation stop signal. RNAcentral also lists the same sequence under 1 other name. The record is from RNAcentral. Lineage: Bacteria; Pseudomonadati; Bacteroidota; Bacteroidia; Bacteroidales; Dysgonomonadaceae.